UACGUAGGUGGCAAGCGUUAUCCGGAUUUACUGGGUGUAAAGGGCGAGUAGGCGGGAUUGCAAGUCAGAUGUGAAAACUAUGGGCUCAACCGAUAGAGUGCAUCUGAAACUGCAGUUCUUGAGUGAUGGAGAGGCAGGCGGAAUUCCCGGCGUAGCGGUGGAAUGCGUAGAUAUCGGGAGGAACACCAGUGGCGAAGGCGGCCUGCUGGACAUUAACUGACGCUGAGGCGCGAAAGCGUGGGGAGCAAACAGG
RNAcentral lists this ribosomal RNA (253 nucleotides) under uncultured bacterium. RNAcentral describes it as "partial 16S ribosomal RNA". It matches the Rfam family "Bacterial small subunit ribosomal RNA", at positions 524 to 776 of the family's 1533-position model. The record is from RNAcentral.